GACGAACGCUGGCGGCGUGCUUAACACAUGCAAGUCGAACGGAAAGGCCCUGCUUUUGUGGGGUGCUCGAGUGGCGAACGGGUGAGUAACACGUGAGUAACCUGCCCUUGACUUUGGGAUAACUUCAGGAAACUGGGGCUAUUACCGGAUAUGAGCUCCUGCUGCAUGGUGGGGGUUGGAAAGUUUCGGCGGUUGUGGAUGGACUCGCGGCUUAUCCGCUUGUUGGUGGGGUAGUGGCUUUCCAAGGCUUUGACGGGUAGCCGGCCUGAGAGGGUGACCGGCGACAUUGGGACUGAGAGACGGCCCAGAAUCCUACGGGAGGCAGCAGUGGGGAAUAUUGCACAAUGGGCGGAAGCCUGAUGCAGCAACGCCGCGUGCGGGAUGACGGCCUUCGGGUUGUAAACCGCUUUCGCCUGUGACGAAGCGUGAGUGACGGUAAUGGGUAAAGAAGCACCGGCUAACUACGUG
RNAcentral lists this ribosomal RNA (468 nucleotides) under uncultured bacterium. RNAcentral's name for it is "partial 16S ribosomal RNA". It matches the Rfam family "Bacterial small subunit ribosomal RNA", at positions 28 to 507 of the family's 1533-position model. The record is from RNAcentral.